This 3558-nucleotide long non-coding RNA is filed under the name Brassica napus (rape). RNAcentral describes it as "long non-coding RNA (BNAP_LNC002067)". Lineage: Eukaryota; Viridiplantae; Streptophyta; Magnoliopsida; Brassicales; Brassicaceae. The record is from RNAcentral.
AAGAAUUUUUAUCAAUAUAUUGUAUUUUUAAAUAAUUUUCUUAAAAACUGCUAUUUCUGGAAAGUUUUCAUUUUUUAGAGAAAUAUUGUAGAUUUGGGUUUGUGAUUUAAAAAUUAGGAUAACAAGAAUAUUUGUGGAUAGAUGAAUAUUAUUUAAGAAUUUUUCAUCAAUGUGUUGUAUUUUUAAAUAAAUUUCUUAAAAACUGCUAUUUUUGGAAAGUUUUCAUUUUUUAGAAAAAUAUUGUAGAUUAGGGUUUGUGAUUUAAAAAUUAGGUUAACAAUAAUAUUUGUGGGUAGAUGAAAAUUAUUUAAGAAUUUUUUAUCAAUGUGUUGUAUUUUUAAGUAAUUUUCUUAAAAACUGCUAUUUUUGGAAAGUUUUCAUUUCUUAGAAAAAUAUUUUAGAUUUGGGUUUGUGAUUUAAAAAUUAGGAUAACAAUAAUAUUUGUGGAUAGAUGAAUACUCUUUAAGAAUUUUUCAUCAACACGUUGUAUUUUUAAAUAAUUUUCUUAAAAACUGCUAUUUUUGGAAACUUUUCAUUUUUUAGAGAAAUGUUGUAGAUUUGGUGUUGUGAUUUAAAAAUUAGGAUAACAAGAAUAUUUGUGGAUAGAUGAAUAUUAUUUAAGAAUAUUUCAUCAAUGUGUUGUAUUUCUUAAUAAUUUUCUUAAAAACUGCUAUUUUUGGAAAGUUUUCAUUUUUUAGAGAAAUAUUGUAGAUUUGGGUUUGUGAUUUAAAAAUUAGGAUAACAAUAAUAUUUGUGGAUAGAUGAAUAUUAUUUAAGAAUUUUUCAUCAAUGUGUUGUAUUUUUAAGUAAUUUUUUUAAAAACUGCUAUUUUUGGAAAUUUUUCAUUUUUUAGAAAAAUAUUUUUGAUUUGGGUUUGUGAUUUAAAAAUUAGGAUAACAAUAAUAUUUGUGGAUAGAUGAAUACUUUUUAAGAAUUUUUCAUCAACACGUUGUAUUUUUAAAUAAUUUUUUUAAAAACUGCUAUUUUUGGAAACUUUUCAUUUUUUAGAGAAAUGUUGUAGAUUUGGUGUUGUGAUUUAAAAAUUAGGAUAACAAGAAUAUUUGUGGAUAGAUGAAUAUUAUUUAAGAAUAUUUCAUCAAUGUGUUGUAUUUCUUAAUAAUUUUCUUAAAAACUGCUAUUUUUGGAAAGUUUUCAUUUUUUAGAGAAAUAUUGUAGAUUUGGGUUUGUGAUUUAAAAAUUAGGAUAACAAUAAUAUUUGUGGAUAGAUGAAUAUUUUUUAAGAAUUUUUCAUCAAUGUGUUGUAUUUUUAAGUAAUUUUCUUAAAAACUGAUAUUUUUGGAAAAUUUUCAUUUUAUUGAUAAAUGUUGUAGAUUUGGGUUUGUGGUUUAGAAAUUAGGAUAACAAAAAUAUUUGUGGAUAGAUGAGUAUUAUUUAAGAAUUUUUCAUCAAUGUGUUGUAUUUUAAAUAAUUUUCCUAAAAACUACUAUUUUUGGAAAGUUUUUAUUUUAAAGAGAAAUAUUAUAGAUUUGGGUUUGUGAUUUAAAAAUUAGGAUAACAAAAAUAUUUGUGGAUAGAUGAGUAUUAUUUAAGAAUUUUUCAUCAAUGUGUUGUAUUUUAAAUAAUUUUCCUAAAAACUACUAUUUUUGGAAAGUUUUUAUUUUAAAGAGAAAUAUUAUAGAUUUGGGUUUGUGAUUUAAAAAUUAGGAUAACAAAAAUAUUUGUGGAUAGAUGAGUAUUAUUUAAGAAUUUUUCAUCAAUGUGUUGUAUUUUUAAAUAAUUUUCUUAAAAUUGCUAUUUUUGGAAAGUUUUCAAAUUUAUAAAAUCAUUGUAGAUUUGGAUAACUAGACUAUUUGUGGACAGCUGAAUACACUUGAAGAAUUUUUCAUCAGCAGGUUAUAUUUUUAAAUAAUUUUCUUAGAAACUGCUAUUUGUGGAAAGUUUUCAUUUUUUAGAGAAAUAUUAUAGAUUUGAGUUUGUAAUUUACAAAUUAGGAUAACAAGAAUAUUUGUGGAUAGAUGAGUAUUAUUCAAUAAUUUUUCAUCAAUGUGUUGUAUUUUUAAAUAAAUUUUUAAAAAUUGCUAUUUGUGGAGAAUUUUCAUUUUAUAGAUAAAUAUUGUAGAUUUGAGUUUGUGAUUUUAAAUUUAGGAUAACAAAAGUAUUUUUGGAUAUAUGAGUAUUAUUUAAGAAUUUUUCAUCAAUAGGUUGUAUUUUUAAAAUAAUUUUCUUAAAAACUGCUAUUUUUGGAAAGUUUUCAUUUUUAGAGAAAUAUUGUAGAUUUGGGUUUGUGAUUUAGAAAUUAGGAUAACUAGACUAUUUGUGGACAGCUGAAUACACUUUAAGAAUUUUUCAUCAAUGUGUUGUAUUUUUUAAAUAAUUUUCUUAAAAACUGGUGUUUUUGGAAAGUUUUCAUUUUUUAGAGAAAUAUUAUAGAUUUGGGUUUGUGAUUUAAAAAUUUGGAUAACAAGAAUAUUUGGGAUAGAUGAGUAUUAUUCAAGAAUUUUUCAUCAAUGUGUUGUAUUUUUAAAUAAUUUUCUUAAAAACUGCUAUUUUUGGAAAGUUUUCAUUUUAUAGAUAAAUAUUGUAGAUUUGAGUUUGUGAUUUUAAAUUUAGGAUAACAAGAAUAUUUGUGGAUAUAUGAGUAUUAUUCAAGAAUUUUUCAUCAAUAGGUUGUAUUUUUAAAAUAAUUUUCUUAAAAACUGCUAUUUUGGGAAAGUUUUCAUUUUUAGAGAAAUAUUGUAGAUUUGGGUUUGUGAUUUAGAAAUUAGGAUAACUAGACUAUUUGUGGACAGCUGAAUACACUUUAAGAAUUUUUCAUCAAUGUGUUGUAUUUUUUAAAUAAUUUUCUUAAAAACUGGUGUUUUUGGAAAGUUUUCAUUUUUUAGAGAAAUAUUAUAGAUUUGGGUUUGUGAUUUAAAAAUUUGGAUAACAAGAAUAUUUGGGAUAGAUGAGUAUUAUUCAAGAAUUUUUCAUCAAUGUGUUGUAUUUUUAAAUAAUUUUCUUAAAAACUGCUAUUUUUGGAAAGUUUUCAUUUUAUAGAUAAACAUUGUAGAUUUGGGUUGGUGAUUUAAAAUUUAGGAUAACAAAAAUAUUUGUGGAUAGAUGAGUAUUAUUCAAGAAUUUUUCAUCAAUGUGUUGUAUUUUUAAAUCAUUUUCUUAAAAACUGCUAUUUUGGGAAAGUUUUCAUUUUUAGAGAAAUAUUGUAGAUUUGGGUUUGUGAUUUAGAAAUUAGGAUAACUAGACUAUUUGUGGACAGCUGAAUACACUUUCAGAAUUUUUCAUCAAUAUGUUGUAUUUUUAAAAUAAUUUUCUUAAAAACUGCUAUUUUUGGAAAAUUUUCAUUUUUUAGAGAAAUAAUAUAGAUUUGGGUUUGUGAUUUAAAAAUUAGGAUAACAAGAAUAUUUGUGGAUAGAUGAGUAUUAUUCAAGAAUUUUUCAUCAAUGUGUUGUAUUUUUAAAUAAUUUUCUUAAAAACUGCUAUUAUUGGAAAGUUUUUAUUUUAAAUAGAAAUAUUAUAGAUUUGGGUUUGUGAUUUAAAAAUUAGGAUAACAAAAAUAUUUGUGGAUAGAUGAGUAUUAUUCAAGAAUUUUUCAUCAAUGUG